AACUUUUGACAAUGGAUCACUUGGCUCUCGCAUCGAUGAAGAACGCAGCGAAAUGCGUUAAGUAAUGUGAAUUGCAGAAUUUAGUGAAUCAUCGAAUCUUUGAACGCACCUUGCGCUCCUUGGUGUUCCGAGGAGCAUGCCUGUUUGAGUGUCAUUCAAUUCUCAACCUUUCCAUUAAUUUGGUUUGGCUUGGAUGUGGGGGUUGCAGGCUUCAUUUGACUAUGAGGUCAGCUCUCCUUAAAUGCAUUAGUGGAACUUUUGUUGACCAUCUAUUGGUGUGAUAUCUAUCUACACUGUGGAUGUGAAGCAGUGUUCAGCUUCUAACCGUCUAUUAUUGACUUUUACUUGACCAUUUGACCUCAAAUCAGGUAGGACUACCCGCUGAACUUAAGCAUAUCAAUAAGCGGAGGCU
Molecule: unclassified non-coding RNA, 412 nt
Filed under: uncultured fungus
Lineage: Eukaryota; Fungi
Description: sequence contains ITS2
Rfam family: 5.8S ribosomal RNA (bases 1-154)
Source: RNAcentral